UAGGUGUCGGGCGAGCUUUCGAGCUUCGCCCGGUNCCGAAGGGAACCUUGUUAAAGCCCGCCGCCUGGGGAGUACGGCCGCAAGGCUGAAACUUAAAGGAAUUGGCGGGGGAGCACUACAAGGGGNNGAGCGUGCGGUUUAAUUGGAUUCAACGCCGGGAACCUCACCGGGGGCGACGGCAGGAUGAAGGCCAGNCUGAAGGUCUUGCCGGACACGCCGAGAGGAGGUGCAUGGCCGCCGUCAGCUCGUACCGUGAGGCGUCCACUUAAGUGUGGUAACGAGCGAGACCCGCGCCCCCAGUUGCCAGUCCUCCCCGCUGGGGAGGAGGCACUCUGGGGGGACCGCCGGCGAUAAGCCGGAGGAAGGAGCGGGCGACGGUAGGUCAGUAUGCCCNGAAACCCCCGGGCUACACGCGCGCUACAAUGGGCGGGACAAUGGGAUCCGACCCCGAAAGGGGAAGGGAAUCCCCUAAACCCGCCCCCAGUUCGGAUCGCGGGCUGCAACUCGCCCGCGUGAAGCUGGAAUCCCUAGUACCCNNGUUNUCAUCGCGCGGCAAUA
RNAcentral lists this ribosomal RNA (558 nucleotides) under uncultured archaeon. RNAcentral describes it as "bacterial SSU rRNA". It matches the Rfam family "Archaeal small subunit ribosomal RNA", at positions 768 to 1324 of the family's 1478-position model. The record is from RNAcentral.